This 168-nucleotide non-coding RNA is filed under the name unclassified sequences. RNAcentral's name for it is "RAGATH-9 RNA". It matches the Rfam family "RAGATH-9 RNA". Rfam says of the family: RNA motif Associated with Genes Associated with Twister and Hammerhead ribozymes (RAGATH). The record is from Rfam by way of RNAcentral.
AAAGUCAAUCCCAAACUACUACUUAUCUAACCAAAACCCUAAUAGAAAUAGUUAACACUAGAGUACAACGGAUCAUACAACGAUCAACCAGGUAUGCUACCUAGGUCAGGUGAAGGAAAAGGGGUUGCCCCUUGAAUAUGACAUGCGAAUAGAGGGGAAGUAGUAGUU